RNAcentral lists this ribosomal RNA (772 nucleotides) under uncultured Streptococcus sp. Its description in RNAcentral is "bacterial SSU rRNA". It matches the Rfam family "Bacterial small subunit ribosomal RNA", at positions 75 to 834 of the family's 1533-position model. The record is from RNAcentral. Lineage: Bacteria; Bacillati; Bacillota; Bacilli; Lactobacillales; Streptococcaceae.
GGAGCUUGCUUCUCUGGAUGAGUUGCGAACGGGUGAGUAACGCGUAGGUAACCUGCCUGGUAGCGGGGGAUAACUAUUGGAAACGAUAGCUAAUACCGCAUAACAGUAGAUGUUGCAUGACAUUUGCUUAAAAGGUGCAAUUGCAUCACUACCAGAUGGACCUGCGUUGUAUUAGCUAGUUGGUGGGGUAACGGCUCACCAAGGCGACGAUACAUAGCCGACCUGAGAGGGUGAUCGGCCACACUGGGACUGAGACACGGCCCAGACUCCUACGGGAGGCAGCAGUAGGGAAUCUUCGGCAAUGGACGGAAGUCUGACCGAGCAACGCCGCGUGAGUGAAGAAGGUUUUCGGAUCGUAAAGCUCUGUUGUAAGAGAAGAACGAGUGUGAGAGUGGAAAGUUCACACUGUGACGGUAUCUUACCAGAAAGGGACGGCUAACUACGUGCCAGCAGCCGCGGUAAUACGUAGGUCCCGAGCGUUGUCCGGAUUUAUUGGGCGUAAAGCGAGCGCAGGCGGUUAGAUAAGUCUGAAGUUAAAGGCUGUGGCUUAACCAUAGUACGCUUUGGAAACUGUUUAACUUGAGUGCAAGAGGGGAGAGUGGAAUUCCAUGUGUAGCGGUGAAAUGCGUAGAUAUAUGGAGGAACACCGGUGGCGAAAGCGGCUCUCUGGCUUGUAACUGACGCUGAGGCUCGAAAGCGUGGGGAGCAAACAGGGUUAGAUACCCUGGUAGUCCACGCCGUAAACGAUGAGUGCUAGGUGUUAGACCCUUUC